CGACCCCAGGUCAGACGGGAACACCCGCUGAGUUUAAGCAUAUCAA
This 46-nucleotide ribosomal RNA is filed under the name Trimezia caulosa. Its description in RNAcentral is "partial 28S ribosomal RNA". The record is from RNAcentral. Lineage: Eukaryota; Viridiplantae; Streptophyta; Magnoliopsida; Asparagales; Iridaceae.